UCAGCUCGUGUCGUGAGAUGUUGGGUUAAGUCCCGUAACGAGCGCAACCCUUGUCCUUAGUUACCAGCACGUAAUGGUGGGCACUCUAAGGAGACUGCCGGUGACAAACCGGAGGAAGGUGGGGAUGACGUCAAGUCAUCAUGGCCCUUACGGCCAGGGCUACACACGUGCUACAAUGGUCGGUACAAAGGGUUGCCAAGCCGCGAGGUGGAGCUAAUCCCAUAAAACCGAUCGUAGUCCGGAUCGCAGUCUGCAACUCGACUGCGUGAAGUCGGAAUCGCUAGUAAUCGUGAAUCAGAAUGUCGCGGUGAAUACGUUCCCGGGCCUUGUACACACCGCCCGUCACACCAUGGGAGUGGGUUGUACCAGAAGUAG
Molecule: ribosomal RNA, 375 nt
Filed under: Prorocentrum minimum
Lineage: Eukaryota; Dinophyceae; Prorocentrales; Prorocentraceae
Description: partial Bacterial small subunit ribosomal RNA
Rfam family: Bacterial small subunit ribosomal RNA
Source: RNAcentral